CCCUUAGAUGUUCUGGGCCGCACGCGUGCUACACUGAGUGGAUCAGCGGGUCAGGUUGCGCGAAAGCGUUUCCUAAUCUUUAAAUCCGCUCGUGAUGGGGAUUGACGGUUGCAAUUUUCUGUCAUGAACGAGGAAUACCUUGUAAGCGCGGGUCAUCAUCCCGCGCUGAAUACGUCCCUGCCCUUUGUACACACCGCCCGUCGCUCCUACCGAUUGAGUGGUCCGGUGAGGCUUUGGGAUCUGAGCGGAAAGAGCGUUUCGCUGUUUCUGCUCUGAAAACUCAGUCGAACCUUAUCAUUUAGAGGAAGGAGAAGUCGUAACA
Molecule: ribosomal RNA, 322 nt
Filed under: uncultured eukaryote
Lineage: Eukaryota
Description: partial 18S ribosomal RNA
Rfam family: Eukaryotic small subunit ribosomal RNA
Source: RNAcentral